RNAcentral lists this ribosomal RNA (253 nucleotides) under uncultured bacterium. RNAcentral's name for it is "partial 16S ribosomal RNA". It matches the Rfam family "Bacterial small subunit ribosomal RNA", at positions 524 to 776 of the family's 1533-position model. The record is from RNAcentral.
UACGAAGGGGGCUAGCGUUGCUCGGAAUUACUGGGCGUAAAGCGCACGUAGGCGGCUUUCUAAGUCGGGGGUGAAAUCCUGGAGCUCAACUCCAGAACUGCCUUCGAUACUGGAAAGCUCGAGUCCGGGAGAGGUGAGUGGAACUGCGAGUGUAGAGGUGAAAUUCGUAGAUAUUCGCAAGAACACCAGUGGCGAAGGCGGCUCACUGGCCCGGUACUGACGCUGAGGCUCGAAAGCGUGGGGAGCAAACAGG